UUGCACAAUGGGCGCAAGCCUGAUGCAGCCAGUGCCGCGUGUAUGAAGAAGGCCUUACGGGUUGUAAAGUACUUUCAGCAGUGAGGAAGGUGGAUAUGUUAAUAGCAUAUUCAUUUGACGUUAGCUGCAGAAGAAGCACCGGCUAACUCCGUGCCAGCAGCCGCGGUAAUACGGAGGGUGCGAGCGUUAAUCGGAAUUACUGGGCGUAAAGCGCAUGCAGGUGGUUUGUUAAGUCAGAUGUGAAAGCCCCGGGGCUCAACCUCGGAAUUGCAUUUGAAACUGGCAAACUAGAGUACUGUAGAGGGGGUAGAAUUUCAGGUGUAGCGGUGAAAAUGCGUAAAGAUCUGAAGGAAUACCGGUGGCGAAGGCGGCCCCCUGGACAGAUACUGACACUCAGAUGCGAAAGCGUGGGGAGCAAACAGGAUUAGAUACCCUGGUAG
This 440-nucleotide ribosomal RNA is filed under the name uncultured bacterium. Its description in RNAcentral is "bacterial SSU rRNA". It matches the Rfam family "Bacterial small subunit ribosomal RNA", at positions 364 to 793 of the family's 1533-position model. The record is from RNAcentral.